CGAGCAAAGAAAGUUAAUGUCUCCGGUCGUAAGUUUGAUCCACGCGCCGACACGCGAUCUGUGAGAUUCGCGAAUUUCCGUUUUCCUGUCCGUGAACCCGUCGGAAAAGUGUGACAGGGUGGUUUUUGGAGUGCGCAGAUUUUUGCGGACAACGUUUGGUGUUUGUGACUAAGUUUUGGGAUGUUAUCGUCGCCGAGGAGUAUUCUGUCGAACACGUGAGGAACCCUUAACAGGGUUGCGCCCGGCAUGGGGCCCUUAUGGGUCGCGGGCCUGGUGAUCGUCUCCGUGUUGAGCGGGCCAUGCCUCUGCGACACGAGCACAACCCGAGCUCGACCAACACUACCACCGCCGGAACCGGCUCCAAGUCCAAACCCAACGAUACUGCCAUCGAGACAUCCACCGAUAUCGACGAGUACGAACUACUUCCAGAGGCGGCAUCUCUCACCGGUGAUCAGGAAUGGAUCGACGGUCCUGAUGAUGGUUCGGAGGAUGAGAUCAUAGAAGAAGACGCUGAUGACAUCGAGACAGCAGGUUCCGAAGUUGUCUCUACAGUCGUGAAACAAGACGAAACAGGGAACGGAGAGGAGGAGCCUGGUAUGAGACGGCGCCGGAAAAAGGGUCGGAAGAGGCGGCGCCGAAUGCGGAAACGCCCCAGGACAACAACACCAAACUCCGCGGAGGCAGACGUUUAUCCAACACCCCCUCCGAACGCAAGCGAGGAACCAGAAAAAGUUCCUGUUGCAGCACAAGAAGAACAGAGUGAGACUUACCCUCGUCGGCGUCCAGGCAAGAGGCGUCGACGGCCAUGGGCCCGCCCCAGCACUGAAGCACCGUUAGACACCCCUGAAGUUCAGGACCCUCAGGUUCCUCAAGAGCAACAGCCUCCUGUUCCAGAGGAAGCAUCUGAGGAGCCACAAACACCAGCACCUAGACCUCGACGAAGAAAGCGACCAAAGAACCGCACCAAGAUUCCAAUAGAGAACAUCAACUCUCAAGAGACAACUGAGACAACAAAGAACGAGGAUGCAGGUGGGUUGCCGGAGAAUCAUAAACAGUAUGCUGGUGAGCAAGCUCCGGAGCGUUAUGCCUCAGAGCAGCCGAAAGGUUCGGGAGGUGAGGUAAUUAGUUUAAUUUCAAGAGAGGAGCUGGAGAGGGAUCGAAAACAAUUCGCUGAGCAGAGUAAUCGUGAAAAAUCUCCCUAUAAUGCAGGAGAUGAUUUGAAACCUGGGAAGCAGGCUGUUCAAAAGAUAGCGCCAACUAAAGCGACGGCUCAAUAUCCAUUAGAGCAGAGACCAAUCAACGUAGAGCAAAGGCCGAAAGAAAACACGUUGGAGCCGAAACCUAAAGAACAUCAUGAGCAACGGAUAAAAGUCUAUCCUGUGGAGCAGAAGCCAAAGGAUUAUCUCUCUGGAGAGCAGCAACAUAGAGAUUACAUUAGUGGUGGACAGAAGCAGAAAGAAUACGCGACUGAGCAGAAACCUAGAGAUUUCCCACCUUCUGAGCAGAAACCUAAAGAAAAUACAAAUGUUGAGCAAAAGUUCAAAGAUUAUCAAAAUUUUGGUCCACAAACCGACCAAUAUCUGGUAAGCAGCAACCCCAGCAACAGACUACAAAACAUCCAGAAGUAG
This 1628-nucleotide long non-coding RNA is filed under the name Bemisia tabaci. RNAcentral's name for it is "lncRNA ENSSSA2NGG007828". Lineage: Eukaryota; Metazoa; Arthropoda; Insecta; Hemiptera; Aleyrodidae. The record is from RNAcentral.